GACAUCAGGAGGAGUUUGCUAAACUGUGCAGCGUGUCAGUUUGUGUAGUUAAAGACGUAAAAUUACUGGAUAUAAACUUUCAACAAACUGUUUUACUGUUUUCAGCCGACUUCUGAGCUGGAAGUAGCUGAAGUGAGUAAACAGAUCGGCGUUUCAGUUUUUCUGCCAACUUUAAAAAGUACUGCUGGAGCUACCUCGCUAGCCUCUUAGCUAUGGUGUCAUUAUCAUGCCAAAAGUCGAGACAGCAAAUGAGACCCCACGCAAAGGGAACAGCAUGUGUUUACUUUCAUGUUACUUCGGUUAAAGCAUAAAAAACAUGCCUUGUUGCUUAUCCAGUGCCCCACGUGUUCGGACUGAGACCCAUAAUGCAUAUUUGUCUUAUCUUGUCGCCUUCACAGCAUUUAGACUCGGUGCUUGAGACAUCAUGCUCCCCCACUGCAGGAGGAAAGAGAUAAAGAAGCUGCUAAAACAGACUGAACACAUGUUGCUGGUAGAAGUACGCGAGCAGAGUGAUGGGCACAUCAGAGCAAGAAGAGAGGCAACAUUAAGAGCCCAUCUGACUACCUGUGUAUAGCGACUGCCCAGAUUAUUCCAUCAUGGGAUAGUUUCUUCCCUGAUGCCAUGGCGUUGUUCCAAGAUGAUGCCAAGCUUCAUCAGGCUGAAACUGUGAACAAGUUGUUCAGGGAGCAUGACGCGUCAUUUUCACACGUGGAUUGAUCACCAAAGACUUCAGACCUCAGCCGCACUGAGAAGCUUUGGGAUGUUCUGCAGAAGGCUUUGCUCUGUGCUCAGAGUCUUCCAUCGUCAAUACAAAAUCUUGGUGAAAAAUGAAUGCAGCAAUGUUUGGAAAUAAAUCUUGUGACAUUGCAGAAACUUAGAGGCAGUCCAACAAAAUGUUACGUGUGUGACCUUUUUAUUUUCUUUUUCUUUUGUCCAAGCAGUGUACGGAUUUGAGUCUUUUUGUACAAUUUUGCUGUUUGUGUUUGAGGAACUCCACAUUAAAUUCAAACUUUUGCACUCAAUAACUGUUCAUGAAAAAUGGCUGAUAUUAUUUGCUGUACCAUAAUUCAGACCUGGAAUAAAAGUCCCUGAAUUGCACUGCAUAGCAA
Molecule: long non-coding RNA, 1109 nt
Organism: Poecilia latipinna (sailfin molly)
Lineage: Eukaryota; Metazoa; Chordata; Actinopteri; Cyprinodontiformes; Poeciliidae
Exons: 3
Source: RefSeq, a predicted model, not a curated record